GACAGAGGCCCCAAGCGUUAUGCGGAAUCACUGGGCUUAAAGCGUGUGUAGGCGGCUCGUUAAGUGUCUUGUGAAAUCCCACGGCUCACCCGUGGAACUGCUGGGCAUACUGGCGAUCUUGGGCCAACUAGGGGCAGCCGGAACAAGCGGUGGAGCGGUGAAAUGCGUAGAUAUCGCUUGGAACGCCGAAGGUGAAAACAGGCUGCUGGGGGUGUGCCGACGCUGAGACACGAAAGCCAGGGGAGCAAACGGG
Molecule: ribosomal RNA, 253 nt
Filed under: uncultured bacterium
Lineage: Bacteria
Description: partial 16S ribosomal RNA
Rfam family: Bacterial small subunit ribosomal RNA
Source: RNAcentral